RNAcentral lists this long non-coding RNA (3146 nucleotides) under Lynx pardinus (Iberian lynx). Lineage: Eukaryota; Metazoa; Chordata; Mammalia; Carnivora; Felidae. The record is from RNAcentral.
CCCACCUCCCCGCUGUCUGCCCCCGUUUCUUUGCUCGUUUUCCCCAGGCUGGUCUUCCUUUCAGAACUUGAGAAGCAUUUUUGCCUUCCCGCUUGCUGCUGUGCUCGCUUCGAAUGUGUGCUCUCCUCCUCCCUCUUUACUUUUCCCCAAGGCCCUGGAGUUGCUUUCUUUGGAGACAGCCUCUACCCACUCUUUCUUUCCAGCGCGGGGGCCAGCUGGCCCCCGAAAUCAAUCAGGGGCCCAUCAGAGACCGGGCUGGCCGCUGUCACUCCCGCCGUGGAAUUUAGGUAAGUUCCCCGGAGGCCCUUUAGAGCAAACGUGUCCAGAGUCGGCUCUGCCUCACGGAAUCCUCCCAUUUCCUGACGCCUCAAGGAUGUCUUUAUCUGCUAAGCCAUCGAGUUUCUACUGGAGGAGCGUGGACUCUCUUUGUGUUCCUUCCCUCUCUCCUGUGUCUUUUUUCUUUUUUAAAACGGGCUGCCUGGUCUCCCAGGAGGCUGUCAAUAGGCUUCGCCCACUCUGCCCUCUCCGCAGCUCUCUCUUGUCCAUUUUUAAAGUUUCCCUUUUCAGCACCGAUUUCAGCCAGCCUCCCACGCCCUGAGCCUUCCUGGGGCGGCGUGCCCUGUACUGCCCGGUUUAGGUGCUGGAGGAGUUUAAGAGAACUUUCAGUCCGGGAAUUCCAAACCUUUGUGUGUUUUCCUUGGGGUCCAUCCCAGCACUUCUGGGGAAGCUGGGAUGCUCCAAAGUCUCAUGCAAAGUGUCAAGGGUCUGGCCACUAAAGGGGUAGCGGACGAGGGACCCCACAGAUUCCCAUUUUGUUCCCAGGAGGCUCCCCUGGCCCAGCCCCUCGUUUCACAGAUCCGCAAAUGCAGUCCUGUGGAGCUAAUGGGUGUGAGCUGGGAGCCCCACUUGGGGCCUCUCUUAUUUGUGCUCUGCCGUAUCUGCGUGGAUCUUUCUGCCCCUUGAGGCUUCCCUCAACACUCCUCCUCCGUCCCGGGUUUUCCCUUUGGAUUCUUGCUUUCCCGCAUGGGCACACACAUCACGUACCCCCUUAUGCUUCCACAGGACUGGGGGCUCGCUGCAUAACUGGUGGGGCCCACGGCAAAAUCGAAAAAGUGGGUCCCAGCAGAGGGUGGGAACGCGAUUGCGAGUUUGGUGCGGGGCACCUGCCUGGGUCCCUGCAUGGGGGAUGCGUGGGAGGUCCAUGUUCAAGUGUGCAUUGAAUCAGCCGUGGAGCUGCAAACCCGGGAGGCCGCCAUACCUCACCCCGCAUGACACACUGUGGGGCACACGCUGACCCUAACCCUCCCUGCACCUGAACCCAGGCCAGGGCAGGUUAGCAGUGGAACAUGGCCCACCAUGGCGCCAGGCAAAGGGCGGCCGCCGAGGUGGAGGGGGUGGGGGAGGAGAGAGGAGGCCAUCCGGGGCCUGGGAAUCAGGAUUCAGACUGCAGGCUGUGGCCACCCCAGCCCAGAGAGGCAAUGGGGGGUGGACGCCACGUGAACAGAGGCUCCAGGCCUCCUGCACAUGCUCCUUGGUCCCACUGGACUUGACUUACACGACCAAAGAUGGAAGUGUUAGGAAGCUCCAGAUGGCAACAACUGAACAUCAAACGGAGUGUGGACCCUCCUGCAUGGGUCACGUGCCCAUGAAGUGUCCUGACAGCCUGGGACAGUUUUCAAAGCACGUUCACAUCCUUGCCUUUGUUCUGACCUCUAGAUAGCCCUUUGACUCAAACCGAUUGGGUGUCUUAAGCCUUAUUUUACAGGCAAAGACAAGACUCCACCAGGCAUAGCUUACAUACGUGAGUUCUGGAGUCAGACAGCUCAAAUAUGGGCUGGGCCUCAGAGGGGUGAAGGUUCUUCUUCAGGGUUGUUAUGGGAUCACAACAAAUAAUGUAUGGAACACGUUCCCUGGUGCCAGAUGCAGUCAGAAUGCUCCAUAAAUGGAGAUGUUAGUGUGCCCAGCGGAUGUAUCUGGCUUUUCCCAAAAUUCUAUUCAUGAACACUGUCACCAGUUUUCAGUUUUUACAUCUUAUCUGUACCAUUAUUGGCUUAAUAUUUUUUAAAUUUAAAUCUAUCUACUUCUUUUACACUUCCAGUGUUAUUUAAUUUAAUUUUAUUUCAAGUGGUUUUUUAAAUUUAUUUUUGAGAGAGACAGCGCAAGUGGGGCAGGAGCGGAGAGAGAGGGGGACAGAGGAUCUGAAGGGGGCUCUGUGCUGACAGCAGAUGUGGGGCUUGAAUUCACGAACCGUGAGAUCACGACCUGAGCCGAAGUCGGACGCUCAACUGACUGAGCCACCCAGACGCCCCUCCCAUUUUGUUUUAUAGGGUAACUUCAUUUUACUGUCGAGAAUGAAAGACCAGCAUCACUCAUCUUAAAUAGAAAGGUAAAGUAAAUUCGUGGAAAACAACAAUGGUAUGAAAAUCUGGCCAGAUACUUUUGCUUGCUGAACACUCUGAGCUUGUACCUAUUCUUUGUCAAAGAGGGAAAUUAGCAAGGAUUAAAGACUCAGCCUCGCCCUGAGAUUUCUCUUUGACUUCAUCUGCAGGAAAUCAUUUUGUCACUAUCCUAUUCAAUGUUACCCUGUGUCCAGCUGGUGCCUGUACCAUGACCACGAACUCUUGUGCGUUUCUUCACCUGCCGCGCUUUGGGAGAGCCUCGACACGAGGUUAGGACGCAGUGGAGCUAAGUUUCACAAAACGUGUAGCAUGACUGCAAAAAACUAGAAACCCACACAAAGCAGCUCCAAAUGGUUUUCAAGGACACAUGGACUGAAAGAAUUCACAUUGGCUCCUUAAUAGUGAUCACCUCUGAGGAAGGGAAGAGGAAAGCGUUGUUGGCAAAGGGACUUGCACCAGAAUCCCAACAUUUUAAUUGUUUUACCAAAAAAUGCUUGAAAUAGGGAAAUACUUUUACAGUUGUUAAUUCUGCAUCAUGAGGGUGUGAUUAUGUAGCGUUCUUCAGACUUUUACGUGUUUUUGAGUUUUCUUAAAUGUAAAAGACAAUAAAAGGGAAAAGGAAGAAAAGAAGCUCAAUCAGGCAAAAUGCUCCCAGAUGCGGAUGCAGGGAAGGAUCAAAAUGCUUUGGUAAAUCAGGGACUGUAUCAGUUUGCUACAGCUGCUGUAAUAAAUACCAUUGACUGCGUG